UGGGGAAUUUUGGACAAUGGGCGAAANCCUGAUCCAGCAAUGCCGCGUGUGUGAAGAAGGCCUUCGGGUUGUAAAGCACUUUUGUCCGGAAAGAAAUCCUUGGCUCUAAUACAGUCGGGGGAUGACGGUACCGGAAGAAUAAGCACCGGCUAACUACGUGCCAGCAGCCGCGGUAAUACGUAGGGUGCAAGCGUUAAUCGGAAUUACUGGGCGUAAAGCGUGCGCAGGCGGUUUGCUAAGACCGAUGUGAAAUCCCCGGGCUCAACCUGGGAACUGCAUUGGGUGACUGGCAGGCUAGAGUAUGGCAGAGGGGGGUAGAAUUCCACGUGUAGCAGUGAAAUGCGUAGAGAUGUGGAGGAAUACCGAUGGCGAAGGCAGCCCCCUGGGCCAAUACUGACGCUCAUGCACGAAAGCGUGGGGAGCAAACAGGAUUAGAUACCCCUGGGUAGUCCACGCCCUAAACGAUGUCAACUAGUUGUUGGGGAUUCAUUCCUUAGUAACGUAGCUAACGCGUGAAGUUGACCGCCUGGGGAGUACGGUCGCAAGAUU
This 549-nucleotide ribosomal RNA is filed under the name uncultured bacterium. Its description in RNAcentral is "partial 16S ribosomal RNA". It matches the Rfam family "Bacterial small subunit ribosomal RNA", at positions 355 to 895 of the family's 1533-position model. The record is from RNAcentral.